This 439-nucleotide ribosomal RNA is filed under the name uncultured bacterium. RNAcentral describes it as "partial 16S ribosomal RNA". It matches the Rfam family "Bacterial small subunit ribosomal RNA", at positions 339 to 795 of the family's 1533-position model. The record is from RNAcentral.
CUACGGGAGGCUCCAGUGAGGAAUAUUGCACAAUGGGGGGAACCCUGAUGCAGCAACGCCGCGUGGAGGAUGACGCAUUUCGGUGUGUAAACUCCUUUUAUAUGUCAAGAAAAUGACGGUAGCAUAUGAAUAAGCACCGGCUAACUCCGUGCCAGCAGCCGCGGUAAUACGGAGGGUGCAAGCGUUAUUCGGAAUCACUGGGCGUAAAGGACGCGUAGGCGGGCUUGUAAGUCAGGUGUGAAAUCCUACAGCUUAACUGUAGAACUGCACUUGAAACUACGAGCCUAGAGUAUGGGAGGGGGAGAUGGAAUUAGUGGUGUAGGGGUAAAAUCCGUAGAUAUCACUAGGAAUACCUAAAGCGAAGGCGAUCUCCUGGAACAUAACUGACGCUAAGGCGUGAAAGCGUGGGGAGCAAACAGGAUUAGAUACCCGAGUAGUC